AGGAUAUGACAUUUGCAAAUUUUGUGAUUUAAAAAAUUGCACUUGUUAUAUUCUUGA
Molecule: microRNA precursor, 57 nt
Filed under: Blattella germanica (German cockroach)
Lineage: Eukaryota; Metazoa; Arthropoda; Insecta; Blattodea; Blattellidae
Source: RNAcentral